UUGGACUCAGACACUUGUGUGUUGUCCCAAAGAAAACUGGGAGGGCUCCAAUCGCUGGAAUCUUAACAAGGCAUGACUUCAUGCAUGAACAUAUAUCGAACCUCUACCCGCAUUUCGUCCCCCACAAGUAGCCAGAGAAGUUUGCUCAUUCCACAUGCAAACACGCAGCCUAUUGUGUAUUACUAUUCCUUAUUGUUUUGGUUUCCAGAAUUACUCUUCUUGUAAUUCUUUUGGUCUUGAUGUUUGUAUAACUACGAAUACUCCGAAUUUUUCAAUAUCAAGCUUGUAAUCUUGCUCAGUUC
Nicotiana tabacum (common tobacco) is the source of this 302-nucleotide non-coding RNA. The record is from RefSeq and is a predicted model, not a curated record. Lineage: Eukaryota; Viridiplantae; Streptophyta; Magnoliopsida; Solanales; Solanaceae.